Molecule: transfer RNA, 79 nt
Filed under: Ignicoccus pacificus DSM 13166
Lineage: Archaea; Thermoproteati; Thermoproteota; Thermoprotei; Desulfurococcales; Desulfurococcaceae
Also listed under: 1 other name
Description: tRNA-Ala
Source: RNAcentral
GGGCCCGUCGUCUAGCUUGGACUAGGAUGCGGGGUACGCCUCCCCGUGGCCCCGGGUUCAAAUCCCGGCGGGCCCACCA